AACGUAGGGGGCGAGCGUUGCCCGGAUUCACUGGGCGUAAAGCGCGUGUAGGCGUUCCGUUAAGUCGGAUGUGAAAUCUCUGGGCUCAACCCAGAAAUCGCAUCCGAUACUGGCGGACUUGAGGAUGGUAGAGGUUGGUGGAAUUCCCGGUGUACCGGUGAAAUGGACAGAUAUCGGGAGGAACACCAGUGGCGAAGGCGGCCAACUGGGCCAUUCCUGACGCUGAGACGCGAAAGCCAGGGGAGCGAACCGG
RNAcentral lists this ribosomal RNA (253 nucleotides) under uncultured bacterium. Its description in RNAcentral is "partial 16S ribosomal RNA". It matches the Rfam family "Bacterial small subunit ribosomal RNA", at positions 524 to 776 of the family's 1533-position model. The record is from RNAcentral.